RNAcentral lists this unclassified non-coding RNA (299 nucleotides) under plant metagenome. RNAcentral's name for it is "partial contains 5.8S ribosomal RNA, internal transcribed spacer 2, and large subunit ribosomal RNA". The stretch from base 1 to 105 matches the Rfam family "5.8S ribosomal RNA", at positions 50 to 154 of the family's 154-position model. The record is from RNAcentral.
GAAAUGCGAUAAGUAAUGUGAAUUGCAGAAUUCAGGGAAUCAUCGAAUCUUUGAACGCACAUUGCGCCCCCUGGUAUUCCGGGGGGCAUGCCUGUUCGAGCGUCAUUUCACCACUCAAGCCUCGCUUGGUAUUGGGCGACGCGGUCCGCCGCGCGCCUCAAAUCGACCGGCUGGGUCUUUCGUCCCCUCAGCGUUGUGGAAACUAUUCGCUAAAGGGUGCCGCGGGAGGCCACGCCGUAAAACAACCCCAUUUCUAAGGUUGACCUCGGAUCAGGUAGGGAUACCCGCUGAACUUAAGC